This 465-nucleotide ribosomal RNA is filed under the name uncultured bacterium. RNAcentral's name for it is "partial 16S ribosomal RNA". It matches the Rfam family "Bacterial small subunit ribosomal RNA", at positions 28 to 507 of the family's 1533-position model. The record is from RNAcentral.
GAUGAACGCUGGCGGCGUGCUUAACACAUGCAAGUCGAACGGAAAGGCCCAAGCUUGCUUGGGUACUCGAGUGGCGAACGGGUGAGUAACACGUGGGUGAUCUGCCCUGCACUUCGGGAUAAGCCUGGGAAACUGGGUCUAAUACCGGAUAGGACCACAUUUUGGAUGGUGUGGUGGAAAGUUUUUCGGUGUGGGAUGAGCUCGCGGCCUAUCAGCUUGUUGGUGGGGUAAUGGCCUACCAAGGCGUCGACGGGUAGCCGGCCUGAGAGGGUGUACGGCCACAUUGGGACUGAGAUACGGCCCAGACUCCUACGGGAGGCAGCAGUGGGGAAUAUUGCACAAUGGGCGCAAGCCUGAUGCAGCGACGCCGCGUGGGGGAUGACGGCCUUCGGGUUGUAAACUCCUUUCGCUAGGGACGAAGCGCAAGUGACGGUACCUGAAGAAGAAGCACCGGCUAACUACGUG